RNAcentral lists this ribosomal RNA (464 nucleotides) under uncultured bacterium. RNAcentral describes it as "bacterial SSU rRNA". It matches the Rfam family "Bacterial small subunit ribosomal RNA", at positions 335 to 795 of the family's 1533-position model. The record is from RNAcentral.
ACUCCUACGGGAGGCAGCAGUGAGGAAUAUUGGUCAAUGGGCGCAAGCCUGAACCAGCCAUCCCGCGUGCAGGAUGACAGUCCUAGUGAUUGUAAACUGCUUUUAUUUACCAAGAACGACAGAUACGAGUAUUUGUAUGACGGUAGUAAAUGAAUAAGCAUCGGCUAACUCCGUGCCAGCAGCCGCGGUAAUACGGAGGAUGCAAGCGUUAUCCGGAUUUAUUAGGUUUAAAGGGUGCGUAGGCGGAUUAAUAAGUCAGUGGUGAAAGUCUGUAGCUUAACUAUAGAAUUGCCAUUGAUACUGUUAAUCUUGAGUUCGGUUGAGGUAUGCGGAAUGUGUAAUGUAGCGGUGAAAUGCAUAGAUAUUACACAGAACACCAAUUGCGAAGGCAGCAUACUAAGCCGUUACUGACGCUGAUGCACGAAAGCNGUGGGGAGCGAACAGGAUUAGAUACCCUGGUAGUC